AUUGAACGCUGGCGGCAGGCCUAACACAUGCAAGUCGAACGGUAGCACAGAGAGCUUGCUCUCGGGUGACGAGUGGCGGACGGGUGAGUAACGUCUGGGAAACUGCCCGAUGGAGGGGGAUAACUACUGGAAACGGUAGCUAAUACCGCAUAACGUCGCAAGACCAAAGUGGGGGACCUUCGGGCCUCACACCAUCGGAUGUGCCCAGAUGGGAUUAGCUGGUAGGUGGGGUAAUGGCUCACCUAGGCGACGAUCCCUAGCUGGUCUGAGAGGAUGACCAGCCACACUGGAACUGAGAAACGGUCCAGACUCCUACGGGAGGCAGCAGUGGGGAAUAUUGCACAAUGGGCGCAAGCCUGAUGCAGCCAUGCCGCGUGUAUGAAGAUGGCCUUCGGGUUGUAAAGUACUUUCAGCGGGGAGGAAGGCGGUGAAGUUAAUAGCUUCACCGAUUGACGUUACCCGCAGAAGAAGCACCGGCUAACUCCGUGCCAGCAGCCGCGGUAA
Molecule: ribosomal RNA, 504 nt
Filed under: uncultured bacterium
Lineage: Bacteria
Description: partial 16S ribosomal RNA
Rfam family: Bacterial small subunit ribosomal RNA
Source: RNAcentral